This 510-nucleotide unclassified non-coding RNA is filed under the name plant metagenome. RNAcentral describes it as "partial contains small subunit ribosomal RNA and internal transcribed spacer 1". The stretch from base 1 to 54 matches the Rfam family "Eukaryotic small subunit ribosomal RNA", at positions 1778 to 1831 of the family's 1831-position model. The record is from RNAcentral.
GGAAAUAAAAGUCGUAACAAGGUUUCCGUAGGUGAACCUGCGGAAGGAUCAUUAACACGUAUCCACGUACUACACACGCGAACUACAUUCGGAGUGGGAUUCAUUGAAUUUCGGUUCUUGGGUCUCAUAGAUUGCGUUAACAGGCUUCUAGCUAAGGUCCGCGAUGGUGUUUGUUUGAUCUAGCUUUUGUGUUUGAGGGGCCAGUAUCUUGAAGUCCCUUGCUUCUUAUGGUUUACGGAAGCAAGACCGUAUUCUCGAGACUGUCCAAUCAAGCUUGCGAGAGUGAUCAUCUAACACUGGACUCUAGUUUCUUCUUCUUUCCAUCUUAACAAUCUUAUUAUUCUCACACUACGUGUGGGUUUUAAGACUUCGUUCUGGUGGAGUAGAUGCUUUAUUAACCCCAACCAUAACAUAUUGUUACUAAACAACUGUAAAAGCUGAUUCGUAUUCGUACGAACUUCUUUUAAACCGAACGCUGAACAACUCUUAGCAACGGAUCUCUUGGUUCUG